RNAcentral lists this ribosomal RNA (253 nucleotides) under uncultured bacterium. RNAcentral's name for it is "partial 16S ribosomal RNA". It matches the Rfam family "Bacterial small subunit ribosomal RNA", at positions 524 to 776 of the family's 1533-position model. The record is from RNAcentral.
UACGAAGGGGGCUAGCGUUGCUCGGAAUCACUGGGCGUAAAGCGCGUGUAGGCGGAUCUGUAAGUUGGGGGUGAAAUCCCGAGGCUCAACCUCGGAACUGCCUCCAAAACUACAAAUCUGGAGCAAGAUAGAGGCAAGUGGAAUUGCGAGUGUAGAGGUGAAAUUCGUAGAUAUUCGCAGGAACACCAGUGGCGAAGGCAGGUCUCUGGGCCUUGCCUGACGCUGAGGCGCGAAAGCUAGGGGAGCGAACAGG